GUGUUAUUCAAUAAAACAAUGUUUAUUUAAGUGUUUAUAAGUAAAUCAUAUAAAGUAAAUCAUGGAUGGUCUUAUUUUAUUCAUUCAAUAAAUUGUGCUUUGACAACAUUUAUAUUUGCUUAUACAGAAACAUGUUAAUCAAGGUAUUUAUUCAUUUCUUAUUUUGUUCUCUAUCUCUCUGUUCUUCUCUAACACAAUACUGGUCCUAACUGCUUAAACUGUUUCUCUCGAACUGAUGUCCUUAACUGAAGUCCCUAACUGAAGUCCCUGACUCUAUCUCAUAUCCCUAACUCUAACUGAUCUUUAACUGUCUUCCAUUCCUCAUAUAUUUCCUUAGUUCUGCCUCUUCUGUUCAACCAUUGGUUGAUAGAUCAAGGUUUCAUUGUGAUGGACAGGAGUGGUUACUGACCUGUCCGUCACAGUGCCAUUCUGUUCAUUGUGGCUUCUGCUUUGAAAUGCCCCCACGAAGUUGGAGCUCCCUUUCUCACUUUUAGGGAGCCAGACAUGGUCUAAACUAACUGGCAAUGGUGUUGCCAAAGGAGAACCAUUUCACUCUUGCAAUACUCCUGUGCCUGUGGGGUUAUUGCCCACAGAAUGGUAUACUGCCCUUCCAUGCUUGAGCAAUAAAGGACUGAGGGAGAGAGAAAAAGAGAAAGCAAAAUGGGAAAGAGGACCAAGACAACUGCACAAGAAGACCUCCUUUCCUAAACCAGCAAAGGCUUCACAUGGAGAAGAUUCCAGGUACCAACCAUGGAUGUGAUGUUCUCCCAACAGAAAAGAAUGGAUGAAUGGGACUCUCAAUGAACUGAACUCAGAGUACAGGACCUUCUGCCCUACCACCUCCAAACAAACCUUGGUGUCCACCCACUUGACCUACAAUAAGGAGAAGAAUGGACCAAG
RNAcentral lists this long non-coding RNA (900 nucleotides) under Pogona vitticeps (central bearded dragon). Its description in RNAcentral is "lncRNA (ENSPVIG00000014981.1)". The record is from RNAcentral. Lineage: Eukaryota; Metazoa; Chordata; Lepidosauria; Squamata; Agamidae.